UCUGACAUAUACUACACCAUGGAUGGACCUUGAAAAUAUCAUGCUAAGUGGAAGAAGCCAGACACAAAAGACCACAAAAGACCACACACUGUAUGAUUCCAUGUCUAUGAAAUGCCAGAUGAAUAAAUCCAUAGGCAGAAAACAGACUGGGGGUGGCCUAAAACUGGGGAGAGGUGAGGGAAAUGCCUGCUGACAAGAACAGGGCUUCCUUCUGUGGUGGUAAAAAAGUUCUGGAACUAGAGAGAGCUGGUGGCUGCACUAAAAUAUGAAUACGCUGCAUGCCAUUGACAUGCUUGCCUUUAAAUGGUUAAUCUUGUGUCGUAUAAAUAUCACGUUAAUUAAGAAAUAAUCAUCAGUAGGCUAUUGAGCCCACAAUGGGAGGCCAUGGACAUGGGCACCAUUGGAGCCCAUGGUGAGGCAGCUCCAGCAGAGCUCAGGGAAUCAACUGUGCACGGGCCCUACAGCGAAGGUCACCUCAAUGCAGCCCAGAGCUCCUGACACCCCCAGCCCAGGGAUAGAGGGAAAAGCCCAGGGCUAGCUGAGGUCGCCCUCCUCCCCAAAGAGGUAGGCCAACAGGGACAGAGUGUGGGGCAGACAAUUAGCAGGUGCCUUAACAAAGCACAAGGGACUAGGUCCGAGGAGUGGGAUAGAGGGGUAAAUCUGGCUCUGUCAGGUUCUCGAGCUUCUUCCUUCGAGCCCAAAGACUUGCCUCUACAUCACAUGUGGCCCACAGCACUCUCUCAGCCAAAGCUGGCUCACCUUUGGCCACAUAUCUCCAUGGUGGGUGGUUUUCAUAGAUGAGUUGGAAGAUAGGGAGAUAGACAAGGUAAGUAAAUAGCAAGCAGGGGGCCCUGGAGUCUCCAGCCAGGUCUGCUCUGUGACCUCAGGGAAGUGAUGUUGCCUCUCUGGGCUCGGUUCAUCUGUCUGUCUAAUGAAAACAAACCAAAACAGGAAGCGUCCUGGGACUGUAAGCCCUGCUCAAAGGUUCCAGCUUCUGGGUCCUCACAACAGAGCUUGAAGAGCUUUGGAACAAGAAAGACUGCAAGGUCAGGGGAGGAGAGAGACAGUGCAGCAGGCAGAGGGACCCAGGGAAGAGGCUCUGCUUCAGGUCCAGAGAACACAGUUCCAGGAGGACGGAUUGCAGCAGCCACGGUGUGUUGGGCUUCAGAGAUGGAAGGAUUUGAGGUGGGUCCCGACAUCUAGAAUGGCUUUUUAAAGGCAGAGUGCUCAAAGCAGAGGAAACAACAAAUGCAUGGGUUUAGAGGAAGGGCCAAACCUGGACACAUCUGUGUGGCUGGAGGACAGUGCCAUAAGUAGAAAUUGGGGAGGUCCGCAGGGGAUUACCUUGUAAGAGUUGUCUUGUUCCAUUAUUUUGGUUUAGAUUCUGCACAUAAGAGAUACCAUGCAGUAUUUGUCUUUUUCUGCCUGGCUCAUCUCACUUAGCACAAAAUCCUCUUGGUCCAUCCUUGUUGCCACAAAUGGCAGGAUUUCCUUCUUUCCUGUGGCUGAACAAUAAUCCAGUCGUGUAUAUGCUAUAUUUUCUUGACCCUUCAUCCACCUACAGACACUUGGGGUGUUUGUAUAACUCAUGUACUGUGAAUAAUGCAGCGAUGAACGUGGGAUUGCAGAUAGCUCCCAGAUAUUGUUUUCAUUUCCUGUUUGGUUUUCAAGAAAUCUCCACAUUGACUUCCAUAGCAGCUGCACCAGCAGUUGGAAUUGUACUUUACAUAUUAUGGAGAGGAGGGUGCUAUGUGAAGGACAAGAUCUAGUUUACGUCUGUAGGAGCUACUCCUGCCAGCUCAAUGAAGAUGUUAUUUUAGGGGCCCGAAGUGGAAAGUAGAGCCAUGUGGAUAUCUGGGGAAAAGAAUGUUCUAAGCAGUGGGAACAGACAGUGCAAAAGUCCUGAGGCAGGAGCCUGCCUGGCUUGUUCAAGAACCAUCAUGACACCAGAAUGAGUGCAAUGUAGAGUAGGAGGUGAAAUCAGAGAUGAGGACAGAAAGAUGGAGGGAGGGACAGUUCAAGGUGAUGGCCGUUAGGUCACUUGCAGUUUCCAACACUGAGAUUUUCUCUUAACCUCAAUACUGUUGUUCAAGGUGCUCAAAGUCCUCUCUCACCUUCUCCUGAACAAACUAUUUAAGAAAGCAGAGUCCUAUCUCUCAUAACCCCGUCUGAGAUUUUUAUAUAUUCAAUACCUCUCCAUGUGAUAAAGCUUUAGCAAUGUUUAAUAGUCUUAUUUAUUUGAAAAGCUUGAUUUUAUUAAUAUUUGUCCCGCAGAUCUUCACAAGUAUACUUUGGUCCACACUUUGGAGUCAAUAAAUGGAUUUAUUUUUACUCUUGUCAUCAAACAACAAAUUCAAUUUAAUAAAAUUUAGUUGUGAACCCCGUAUAGUCUCCCAACCCCCACACCUGGGGAUCGAUACUUAUUUUGUUGAAUUUCAGAGAGUGUCCUACGUAUCUUCAUUCCUGUAAUAUCUCACACUUCUGUCUCAGAGGGGUUUUUUUUCAGUUAUUUUCAGGUGUUCAGUCCUUUUUACAUAUCAAAUUAUCAUCAGCUUUAAUAACCCAAUCGUUCCUUUCUUAUAAAACCAGAUAAAUGUUGAUGACACUGUUAGAAUUGCAUUUAUUUAAUUUAAGUAAUUAAUUUAUUUGAGAGAGAGAGCAAGAGCAUGAGUUGGGGGGGCAGAGGGACAAGCAGAUCCCCUGCUGAGCAGGGCCCCAGGCAAGGCUCAACCCCAGACCCUAAGAUCCUGACCCGAACCGAAGUCAGAUACAAUCAGCUGAGCCACUCAGGUGCCCCUAGAAUUGCAUUUAUUAAAGGCAACUCUUUUUUUUCUUGAAAUAUUUUAUUUUAUUUUAUAAACUUAUUUUUAUUGGUGUUCAAUUUGCCAACAUAUAGAAUAACACCCAGUGCUCAUCCCAUCAAGUGCCUCCCUCAGUGCCCGUCACCCAGUCACCCCCACCCCUGCCACCUCCCCUUCCACCACCCCUAGCUCGUUUCCCAGAGUUAAGAGAGACUCCUAUUGGGGCAGCCCUGGUGGCGCAGCGGUUUAGUGCUGCCUGCAGCCUGGGGUGUGAUCCUGGAGACCCAGGAUCGAGUCCCACAUCAGGCUUCCUGCAUGGAGCCUGCUUCUCCCUCUGCCUGUCUCUGCCUCUCUCUUUGCUCUCUCUGAAUGAAUAAAUAAAUAAAUCUUAAAAAAAAAAAGAGAGAGAGAGACUCCUAUUAAACGCAACUCUUGAAAACUAAAAGCAAACCAAAAAAUACACCUUUAUUUACUAAGUGCUGGCUCCUUUCCCACAAUUAUUACUGAGAAGAAUUUACAAGACCCGAUACAAUUGCCAGGCUAUUCCUUGCAGACUGAGGUCCUCAGGUUGUCAUUUGUGUCCAUAUACAAUUCCAAUUUUGGCUAUUUCAAUCCCCAGCUCUUCAGGUACAUUGCUUUAUUCUCUGUGUGUUUAUUGGACGCAUGGUGCCAUAUGUAAAGUUUUAAGAGGCAUAUUUAAAGUGCUCCGUUUUAGUUGUAUCUUCUCUGUAUCAUCCAGAAAAAGCUGAACAAAGAGAUUUGAAUGAUACCAAAUUAAAACAUUCAGAAAGUUCUGCAUAUUUUGCCUGAAACUCUGGACUUACAUUAUAUCAUUAUUAUAUAUAUAUAAUUUCACUUUUUAAAGUAAAUUAUGAAAAACUCCUGUAGUGAAAUUGAUCAUGGUUGAGGUUUUUCCUAGUUGAGUAAUUGUUUACCAAAAUUGUUCUCUUUUCAGGAAAUGGGUUUUUCCACAAGCAAAUCCACGAGUCUGAAUGGUGGUGUUGUGCCCAUUUUGACAGUAUGAUUUUUGAUGUUUUACUAAUUAUUUCAUAUCUGGAAAGUCUCA
Molecule: long non-coding RNA, 3867 nt
Filed under: Canis lupus familiaris (dog)
Lineage: Eukaryota; Metazoa; Chordata; Mammalia; Carnivora; Canidae
Description: lncRNA (ENSCAFG00040019579.1)
Source: RNAcentral